Molecule: ribosomal RNA, 266 nt
Filed under: uncultured bacterium
Lineage: Bacteria
Description: partial 16S ribosomal RNA
Rfam family: Bacterial small subunit ribosomal RNA
Source: RNAcentral
GCAAGUCGAACGAGAAAGUUUUCUUCGGAAAGCGCGUACAGUGGCGCACGGGUGAGUAACGCGUGAAUAAUCUACCCCUUAAUUUGGGAUAACAGUUCGAAAGGGCUGCUAAUACCGGAUGACAUAAUCCUUACCACGGUUUGGAUUAUCAAAGAGGGCCUCUCCUUGGAAGCUCUUGUUUGGGGAUGAGUUCGCGUACCAUUAGCUUGUUGGUGGGGUAAUGGCCUACCAAGACUACGAUGGUUAGCUGGUCUGAGAGGAUGAUC